GGGGAUUUAGCUCAGUUGUAGAGCGUUUGCCUAGAAAGCCAAAGGCCCUGGGUUCCUACCCAGCUCA
RNAcentral lists this transfer RNA (67 nucleotides) under Rattus norvegicus (Norway rat). It matches the Rfam family "tRNA". Rfam says of the family: Transfer RNA (tRNA) molecules are approximately 80 nucleotides in length. Their secondary structure includes four short double-helical elements and three loops (D, anti-codon, and T loops). The record is from Rfam by way of RNAcentral. Lineage: Eukaryota; Metazoa; Chordata; Mammalia; Rodentia; Muridae.